GCCAGACUCCUACGGGAGGCAGCAGUGGGGGAUAUUGCACAAUGGGGGAAACCCUGAUGCAGCGACGCCGCGUGAGUGAAGAAGUAUUUCGGUAUGUAAAGCUCUAUCAGCAGGGAAGAAAAAAGACGGUACCUGACUAAGAAGCCCCGGCUAACUACGUGCCAGCAGCCGCGGUAAUACGUAGGGGGCAAGCGUUAUCCGGAUUUACUGGGUGUAAAGGGAGCGUAGACGGCAAUACAAGUCGGAAGUGAAAUACCCGGGCUCAACCUGGGAACUGCUUUGGAAACUGUAUGGCUGGAGUGCUGGAGAGGUAAGCGGAAUUCCUAGUGUAGCGGUGAAAUGCGUAGAUAUUAGGAGGAACACCAGUGGCGAAGGCGGCUUACUGGACAGUAACUGACGUUGAGGCUCGAAAGCGUGGGGAGCAAACAGGAUUAGAUACCCGCGUAA
RNAcentral lists this ribosomal RNA (447 nucleotides) under uncultured bacterium. RNAcentral's name for it is "bacterial SSU rRNA". It matches the Rfam family "Bacterial small subunit ribosomal RNA", at positions 330 to 793 of the family's 1533-position model. The record is from RNAcentral.